This is a long non-coding RNA of Corvus hawaiiensis (hawaiian crow), 455 nucleotides long. RefSeq lists it as uncharacterized. The transcript is spliced from 3 exons. The record is from RefSeq and is a predicted model, not a curated record. Lineage: Eukaryota; Metazoa; Chordata; Aves; Passeriformes; Corvidae.
GUUUGCACAGUCAGAGCUGGGGCUGCCGAGGUGUCUGCAGGAGGGCUGGAGCGCUGCAUGGCAGAGGGCAAUUCCUUGCAGGAUCAGUAUUUAGCUCCACAGGGGAGAUCUGCCUUCUUGGCUGGCCAGGCUCAGUCUCACAGAGCACAAAUGUGCUGUGGGGGUCCCUGUCCUUGGAGCCUGAAUGACCCAUCUUUUUACUUUCUUGGCAGCAAUGAGAAGUCUCUCAGGACUUAAACCUGAAAGAAAUGUUUGAUCAAAUGGUGGAACUCCUCCAUCUCCCCAAACCACUCUAUGGAAUGGACUUGUAAAAGAGGGACUUCCAGUCACAGUCUGUCUGUCUCCCCACAAGUCUGGAAGAAGUUGAUGGGAUGAAGGGUGCAGAUGUGGAACCCCCCCCAGAGCAUGAAGAGCUGUAGGAUCCAUUUGGAGAGGAGCACAGCAGAACCCAGGUA